Molecule: long non-coding RNA, 773 nt
Organism: Pogoniulus pusillus (Red-fronted tinkerbird)
Lineage: Eukaryota; Metazoa; Chordata; Aves; Piciformes; Lybiidae
Exons: 2
Source: RefSeq, a predicted model, not a curated record
UCUGCCGCUGGAAUAGCUGCUGUUGGGGGGAAAGGGAAAUGUGCCAGCUACGACAGAACCUCUUUAGCACCUCAUCUGGUGGAAACUUCUGGGAAAUUGGCUUAGAGGCUGCAGCUGAAGUACGGAGUGCAUCAGGCCAACUUUUCCUGUGGAGCAUUAACAAAACACUCUCCUGCUGUAUUUAUAAUGAAAUGGCACUGGGAGAAGCCAGCCCACUCUGUUUUUACCAAAGGAGAGUACACAGAGAGCUGUCUUGAAAGGGAAGUACAAAGCCAUGGUGUGCUUUUCAGGUGUGAGGGUUUGGGACUUCUCACUGCACAGCAACGUUCUGGGCUUCUGCUAUACAGAGCUGCAGUCUGCUGUGAGAAAGAUGGAAGGAGAUGAGCCAGCCUUUCUAGAUACAUUUCAACUGAUGAGAACAGUGCAAACUUCCUGAAUCAGUAGUGCUGCUUGUGAUGUUCAAUAUCUGUGCCUGACCUGGAUGAAGGAAGAACUUCAGCCUUAACAUUUUGUGCAUAAUCAUAUGAGCAAGUCCACAGCUAAUAAUUUGCCUGACCAUCAAUUGCAGAGCUACUGGAAGCUGUAUACAUUCACUGGUUUAUAAAUCAAUAGCACUAUUCAGAUAUUCAUGAGCCAGUGUCCUGCCAGUGGUUUGGCCAAAGCUCCUGCAAGUCAGUGUUUGUGGAUGGUGUGUAGGAUACUUGGCACAGUGCUGUCAAUAAAGAAAAAAGAAAGGCAAGAGAAAGCUGGUACUGUGUUGAUAUCCAGGACCA